UGGGGAAUAUUGCACAAUGGGGGAAACCCUGAUGCAGUAACGCCGCGUGAGUGAUGACGGCCUUCGGGUUGUAAAGCUCUGUCUUCAGGGACGAUAAUGACGGUACCUGAGGAGGAAGCCACGGCUAACUACGUGCCAGCAGCCGCGGUAAUACGUAGGUGGCAAGCGGUGUCCGGAUUUACUGGGCGUAAAGGGAGAGUAGGCGGACUUUUAAGUGAGAUGUGAAAUACCCGGGCUCAACCUGGGUGCUGCAUUUCAAACUGGAAGUCUAGAGUGCAGGAGAGGAGAGUGGAAUUCCUAGUGUAGCGGUGAAAUGCGUAGAGAUUAGGAAGAACACCAGUGGCGAAGGCGACUCUCUGGACUGUAACUGACGCUGAGGC
RNAcentral lists this ribosomal RNA (380 nucleotides) under uncultured bacterium. RNAcentral describes it as "bacterial SSU rRNA". It matches the Rfam family "Bacterial small subunit ribosomal RNA", at positions 355 to 752 of the family's 1533-position model. The record is from RNAcentral.